GCCGGGGUGGCGGAAUUGGUAGACGCGCCAGACUCAAAAUCUGGUUGGGGCAACCCAGUGUCGGUUCGAAUCCGACCCUCGGUACCA
Molecule: transfer RNA, 87 nt
Filed under: Gammaproteobacteria bacterium
Lineage: Bacteria; Pseudomonadati; Pseudomonadota; Gammaproteobacteria
Also listed under: 1 other name
Description: tRNA-Leu
Rfam family: tRNA
About the family: Transfer RNA (tRNA) molecules are approximately 80 nucleotides in length. Their secondary structure includes four short double-helical elements and three loops (D, anti-codon, and T loops). Further hydrogen bonds mediate the characteristic L-shaped molecular structure. tRNAs have two regions of fundamental functional importance: the anti-codon, which is responsible for specific mRNA codon recognition, and the 3' end, to which the tRNAs corresponding amino acid is attached (by aminoacyl-tRNA synthetases). tRNAs cope with the degeneracy of the genetic code in two manners: having more than one tRNA (with a specific anti-codon) for a particular amino acid; and 'wobble' base-pairing, i.e. permitting non-standard base-pairing at the 3rd anti-codon position.
Source: RNAcentral